This is a non-coding RNA of Rhodocollybia butyracea, 101 nucleotides long. Lineage: Eukaryota; Fungi; Basidiomycota; Agaricomycetes; Agaricales; Omphalotaceae. The record is from the annotation of a GenBank genome assembly.
GGUUCGAUGGUGUAGGGGUUAUCACACUUUGUCUUACAUCUACAAUGUGGAGAAGAGCUAUGUAUCACAAGAGGUCCCCGGUUCGAAACCGGGUCGAACCA